RNAcentral lists this ribosomal RNA (253 nucleotides) under uncultured bacterium. RNAcentral describes it as "partial 16S ribosomal RNA". It matches the Rfam family "Bacterial small subunit ribosomal RNA", at positions 524 to 776 of the family's 1533-position model. The record is from RNAcentral.
UACGAAGGGUGCAAGCGUUACUCGGAAUUACUGGGCGUAAAGCGUGCGUAGGCGGUUUGUUAAGUCCGCUGUGAAAGCCCUGGGCUCAACCUGGGAAUUGCAGUGGAUACUGGCAAGCUAGAGUGCGGUAGAGGAUGGUGGAAUUCCCGGUGUAGCGGUGAAAUGCGUAGAGAUCGGGAGGAACACCGAUGGCGAAGGCAGCCCCCUGGGCCAACACUGACGCUCAGGCACGAAAGCGUGGGGAGCAAACAGG